GAAUAGCUCAGUCGGUAGAACACGAAACUCUCAGUCUCAGGGUUGUGGGUUCAAGCCCCACGUUGGGCA
Molecule: non-coding RNA, 69 nt
Organism: Podarcis lilfordi (Lilford's wall lizard)
Lineage: Eukaryota; Metazoa; Chordata; Lepidosauria; Squamata; Lacertidae
Source: the annotation of a GenBank genome assembly